This 536-nucleotide unclassified non-coding RNA is filed under the name Cladosporium herbarum. Its description in RNAcentral is "sequence contains ITS1, 5.8S rRNA gene, ITS2". The stretch from base 180 to 333 matches the Rfam family "5.8S ribosomal RNA". The record is from RNAcentral. Lineage: Eukaryota; Fungi; Ascomycota; Dothideomycetes; Cladosporiales; Cladosporiaceae.
AGGUGAACCUGCGGAGGGAUCAUUACAAGUGACCCCGGCUACGGCCGGGAUGUUCAUAACCCUUUGUUGUCCGACUCUGUUGCCUCCGGGGCGACCCUGCCUUCGGGCGGGGGCUCCGGGUGGACACUUCAAACUCUUGCGUAACUUUGCAGUCUGAGUAAACUUAAUUAAUAAAUUAAAACUUUUAACAACGGAUCUCUUGGUUCUGGCAUCGAUGAAGAACGCAGCGAAAUGCGAUAAGUAAUGUGAAUUGCAGAAUUCAGUGAAUCAUCGAAUCUUUGAACGCACAUUGCGCCCCCUGGUAUUCCGGGGGGCAUGCCUGUUCGAGCGUCAUUUCACCACUCAAGCCUCGCUUGGUAUUGGGCAACGCGGUCCGCCGCGUGCCUCAAAUCGUCCGGCUGGGUCUUCUGUCCCCUAAGCGUUGUGGAAACUAUUCGCUAAAGGGUGUUCGGGAGGCUACGCCGUAAAACAACCCCAUUUCUAAGGUUGACCUCGGAUCAGGUAGGGAUACCCGCUGAACUUAAGCAUAUCAAUAA